This 762-nucleotide ribosomal RNA is filed under the name uncultured fungus. Its description in RNAcentral is "SSU rRNA". It matches the Rfam family "Eukaryotic small subunit ribosomal RNA", at positions 564 to 1329 of the family's 1831-position model. Lineage: Eukaryota; Fungi. The record is from RNAcentral.
GUGCCAGCCGCCGCGGUAAUUCCAGCUCCAAUAGCGUAUAUUAGAGUUGUUGUGGUUAAAAAGCUCGUAGUUGAACCUUGGGCCUGGCUGGCCGGUCCGCCUCACCGCGUGCACUGGUCCGGCCGGGCCUUUCCCUCUGUGGAACCCCAUACCCUUCACUGGGCGUGGCGGGGAAACAGGACAUUUACUUUGAAAAAAUUAGAGUGCUCCAGGCAGGCCUAUGCUCGAAUACAUUAGCAUGGAAUAAUAAAAUAGGACGCGCGGUUCUAUUUUGUUGGUUUAUAGGACCGCCGUAAUGAUUAAUAGGGACAGUCGGGGGCAUCAGUAUUCAACUGUCAGAGGUGAAAUUCUUGGAUCAGUUGAAGACUAACUACUGCGAAAGCAUUUGCCAAGGAUGUUUUCAUUAAUCAGGAACGAAAGUUAGGGGAUCGAAGACGAUCAGAUACCGUCGUAGUCUUAACCAUAAACUAUGCCGACUAGGGAUCGGACGGUGUUAUUCAUGACCCGUUCGGCACCUUACGAGAAAUCAAAGUGCUUGGGCUCCACGGGGAGAAUAGUCGCAAGGCUGAAACUUAAAGAAAUUGACGGAAGGGCACCACCAGGGGUGGAGCCUGCGGCUUAAUUUGACUCAACACGGGGAAACUCACCAGGUCCAGACACAAUAAGGAUUGACAGAUUGAGAGCUCUUUUCUUGAUUUUGUGGGUGGUGGUUGCAUGGACGUUCUUAGUUGGUGGGGGUGACUUUGUCUGCUUAAUUGCGAU